This 366-nucleotide ribosomal RNA is filed under the name uncultured organism. Its description in RNAcentral is "bacterial SSU rRNA". It matches the Rfam family "Bacterial small subunit ribosomal RNA", at positions 526 to 896 of the family's 1533-position model. The record is from RNAcentral.
CGGAGGGUGCAAGCGUUAUCCGGAUUCACUGGGUUUAAAGGGUGCGUAGGUGGGUUGGUAAGUCAGUGGUGAAAUCUCCGAGCUUAACUUGGAAACUGCCAUUGAUACUAUCAGUCUUGAAUACCGUGGAGGUCAGCGGAAUAUGUCAUGUAGCGGUGAAAUGCUUAGAUAUGACAUAGAACACCAAUUGCGAAGGCAGCUGGCUACACGAAUAUUGACACUGAGGCACGAAAGCGUGGGGAUCAAACAGGAUUAGAUACCCUGGUAGUCCACGCCCUAAACUAUGGAUACUCGACAUACGCGAUACACUGUGUGUGUCUGAGCGAAAGCAUUAAGUAUCCACCUGGAAGUACGAUCGCAAGAUUG